Long non-coding RNA from Neopsephotus bourkii (Bourke's parrot), 355 nucleotides. RefSeq lists it as uncharacterized. The transcript has 3 exons. Lineage: Eukaryota; Metazoa; Chordata; Aves; Psittaciformes; Psittacidae. The record is from RefSeq and is a predicted model, not a curated record.
GUUACUGGUUCAGCUUCCACAGCUUCCACUGGAAGAACCUCUUCUGUCACUAUUCGCUCUGAAAUACUGUGAAUUUCUUUGAGAUGCCUUCUCAGCUCACUGCCUUGCAUAAACCACAAAUCACAUAGGUGUUCAGUGUUUUCUGUGAAUAAGUUCACUCUUUCUUUUGAAUAAAGACUAUACCCAGCAGUUUUCUUCACAACACAACCCAAUUCAGCCUCAAAUCGCAGCCAUGUUGUGAACUGAAUAAGGCUGAUAAAUAUCCUGUAAAGACAUGGCCAACUGGAUUAUUCUACAGAAGAAAAAGACAUUCUAUGUAAACUUCAUUUAUGUAAAUAAAAGGGUAAAACCCUAA